RNAcentral lists this ribosomal RNA (453 nucleotides) under Stenotrophomonas sp. Its description in RNAcentral is "bacterial SSU rRNA". It matches the Rfam family "Bacterial small subunit ribosomal RNA", at positions 67 to 507 of the family's 1533-position model. Lineage: Bacteria; Pseudomonadati; Pseudomonadota; Gammaproteobacteria; Lysobacterales; Lysobacteraceae. The record is from RNAcentral.
CGGCAGCACAGUAAGAGCUUGCUCUUAUGGGUGGCGAGUGGCGGACGGGUGAGGAAUACAUCGGAAUCUACCUUUUCGUGGGGGAUAACGUAGGGAAACUUACGCUAAUACCGCAUACGACCUUCGGGUGAAAGCAGGGGACCUUCGGGCCUUGCGCGGAUAGAUGAGCCGAUGUCGGAUUAGCUAGUUGGCGGGGUAAAGGCCCACCAAGGCGACGAUCCGUAGCUGGUCUGAGAGGAUGAUCAGCCACACUGGAACUGAGACACGGUCCAGACUCCUACGGGAGGCAGCAGUGGGGAAUAUUGGACAAUGGGCGCAAGCCUGAUCCAGCCAUACCGCGUGGGUGAAGAAGGCCUUCGGGUUGUAAAGCCCUUUUGUUGGGAAAGAAAAGCAGUCGGCUAAUACCCGGUUGUUCUGACGGUACCCAAAGAAUAAGCACCGGCUAACUUCGUG